Molecule: long non-coding RNA, 1028 nt
Organism: Chelonia mydas (Green sea turtle)
Lineage: Eukaryota; Metazoa; Chordata; Testudines; Cheloniidae
Exons: 3
Source: RefSeq, a predicted model, not a curated record
UAGGGGAAGUAAUCUGCAGUUGCUCCUGUGGAGGAAAGAGGUGUUGGGGGUGACUAAGCCUGGCAAGGAGAGAAGGAUCAGUCUGCAGGCAGAGAAUAGAAAGGACUGAAGGUUCACCAAUGGCCAAGGCCACUGCAAUGACAAGAAGUAAUUGAGAUAUAUGGAGGGCUGGUCUCCACUACAGGAAGAUCAAUGGUGCUGCAAUCAAUGACCUGCUAAAUUGACCGGUUGACCCCAGUACUCCUCCUCUCCGAGAAGAGUAAGGUUUUACCUCUGUGACUUUAUCUAUGGAUAUAAACUGAAUCACUCUGGAAAUAGCCGUGGAAGGCUUUAUGCCAGAGACCUCUCUUCACUUUUCCCUUAGUCUGGGGGCUAGUAAUUUGCUGCAGAACACAGUGUUUACAUCCAUUCUCCACUAUGCUGGUUCAGCUGGAAGAGAUGUGCAAGGGUAAAAAAAGAGAGAGAUGGCAAAUAAGCCCCAAUUCCCUAUUCUUCUAACAGUGAAACCGAUUGCAUCUGAGUUUGGGUUUUCUGUGGGUGGUAUCACUUUCAUCUUAGGAUGUAUAUGGAAUUUAAUUUGUUCUUUCUUUCUGGAUAUGACUUUUCAAGAGCUCUGAAGACCUAUUUUCAAACUGACUUUGGCGCAAAGUGUUUGGUCUUACAUCAGUGAAGUCAAUGGGAGCUUUGCCAUCUCGGUGUAUUCUUCCAAGAUUCUGACUGUACGAAGGCUUUAAAAAGACAUUAUAUAUUCUAUCUGGAAUGUGGUAAGAUCUGGUCUUUUACUGUUGUUUUAUGGAAGCACACUUAUCAUUGGCAAGAAGGUGAUUGUCCAUUUCACAUGCCUUUUACUUAGCCGUAUCUGAAAAGUAGUGCAAUAAAAAAUGUGACUUGUUUAAUGAACUCCCAGUUUUAAAACAGACUUUUUGUUCCUACCAAAUGCCAUUUAAUAACUAGAAAAUAAAUCAAAAAUAAUAUUUAAACACAUUAAUAUGUUAGCAAGGAGUUUAAUAAAAUGCUUUUAAAUUGUA